CUGUCUUCUUGCCUCAGUGACUUAGCAGUUUCAACUUUGUAGGAAUAAGAAAAAACACAGUGUGUAUUUGUAAGUAGUGGUUUACAAAAAGAUUCAACAAGCAUAGACAAAAAUGAUCACUUUAAUUUAGGUCCUUUUUCUGAUCUGCACGUUUUAAAAGUGGUACUUAUCAUUCCUUCUUGACUUUUUCAAGUAGGGAUUUAAUCAUUGUCUAUGAAACAACUCUGUAUAAGUUUUACAAUGUUUUUGUUGCCCAUAAUUUUAGAAUAAAAUGUGCUUCACCUCAACUUAUGAUUGUGACGAUGUCAUUUAUAGUCUUUAGAUAAAGUGUAUUGUCCAAAACUUUACUGCUAACCUUCUCUCAACUGUAGGGGACUUCGUGUCAGGACUGAGUAAGAAGCGAGAAAUAUGUCACAACUAAAAUAUUUCAAGCUUAUUGGAAAAUGCUGCAAUUAAUAUUGUUAGAUCUACCUAAAGACAUCUUGCUUUGACCUGUCAUCUCGGUAAGGUUGUUUUAACUUUACAAGCAGGUGAUGAACUUCUAAUGCAUCACUUGUUUAUUUCAAGCCUUCAAUAUAUUGCUUUAUAUCAUCCUGAAUUCGUCUGCAGACAUUAUUUUACCCCUGGUAAAAUGUGUGACUGUGACGUCACACGAGGUUGAACUUGUUGAUCAUGCAAACAUUACUUCUCCAGCAAUAAUUGCGCAGAGAAAUCCGUGCGAAAAACGUGCAUAACAUCAAGAAUAAAAUAACGUAGCAGUUUCAGGAAUCGAAUUCACCAGAAUGAACUUACAAUUUAUCCACAAACUAAAAACUAUGACAAAAAUAACACCCCAUACUAACGGAAUACACCGUUGUUUAAAAUGAGCAACAACAUCUGCAAAGAAAGGGUGGGGUUCACAUACGAUAUUUAAUAUACGAACCGGGUUUUAAAAUAAUCUAUUUUGUGCUUUAAAAAAGUUGCAUAUGCGAAUAAUAACCUUUCAAUAACACGGACACCGGUUAAAUCGAGCGAAAAAUAAGCUAGUCCAUCCAAUACACACUCCAACUUAGAAGGUGGCGGUAAUGCACCAAAUAAAUGCUUGCUAACCGCCAGACAAAAGGGGAGGAAGAAGAAGAUCUUCGGAGGAAGGACCAGAAGUGCUGACAGGACACGCGCAUCAUCUCUGGUCUCAGCACAGAACAGGACUCGCUUUUAAGGAAUUAUUUGCACCUGUUCCUUCAGGAAGAGGACGUUUUUAUUAUUAAAGCUCAUCUCAAGGUCUGUAAAUUAGAAUUUUCACCAUGUUCCCUCGUUUCCAGCUGGCAAACGACAGAGCGCACAUCUGCGUAUUUCUGUGUCUCACUGCCAUCGUGAACACAGUAUUCACCGUCACCCAUUACUCAGUUCCAGAAGAAAUGGAGGAGGGAUCUGUCGUUGCUAAUUUAGCAACUGAUUUAGGAUUAGACGUCAAGACUCUGAAUGCCAGGAAAAUACGCGUAGACGUUGUAGCGAAUAAAAAAUACCUCGACAUCAACAAGGACACUGGAGAGCUGUUUAUUUUGGAAAGGAUCGAUAGAGAGUUUCUGUGCCCAUGGAAAACAACAUCAUCAUGCUUCCUUAAAAUAGAUGCAACAAUUGAAAAUCCGAUCCGAAUGUUUAAUAUUGAGGUAGAAGUCACGGACAUUAAUGACAACGCUCCUCAUUUUCGCCGAGGAACGAUGCAUCUGGACAUCUCUGAAUCAACCGCUGUUGGAGAAAGGUUUUCACUGAACAACGCUGUGGACCCAGAUGUCGGAGUUAACUCAGUGAAAAAUUACCACCUGAGCUCCAGCGAUCACUUCGCUAUUGAAAUUCAAACCGGACGAGAUGGAACAAAGUUUGCCGAUUUGAUUCUGAAAAAAGCUUUAGACAGAGAGCAGCAGGCUGUUCAUAAUCUGAUACUGACCGCUGUGGACGGUGGGAUUCCCACGCGCACAGGUACAGCUAGCAUCAUUGUUCGUGUGCUUGAUGUGAACGACAACGCCCCGAAAUUUGACAAAGAAAAAUAUGUGAUUGAUGUCAUGGAAAACUCGCCUAUUGGCAGUUUAGUAAUCAAACUUAACGCCACUGAUUUAGACGAAGGAUCCAAUUCUGACAUUGUUUAUUCUUAUAGUUUAUACACGUCAGAGAAAACUCAAAAUAUGUUUAACCUGAAUCCAGAAAACGGUGAAAUCAGAGUGAAGGAGAUGAUAAAUUAUGAAGAUUUGAAAUUGUAUGAAAUUGAAGUUAUUGCCGCUGAUAAAGGACCUAACUCCUUAUCAGGACAGUGUAAAGUCACAGUUCAGGUGACAGAUAUGAAUGACAACCACCCAGAAAUAUCAGUCAAAUCAUUUCAAAGUCCCAUUAAAGAAAAUGAGCCAGUGGACACAGUGAUAGCAGUAGUGAGUGUCAGUGAUAAAGACUCAGGAGACAAUGGAGUGGUGGACCUUCAUAUUCCUCAUAACAUGCCCUUCAGACUGAGGGAGUCCUCUGAUAACUACUAUGAGUUAGUGGUGUCAGAGCCGUUAGACCGCGAGAAGGUUCCAGAGUAUGAGAUCACGUUCACUGUGACAGACAGAGGUUCUCCUCCUUUAUCGGACAAUGACACUAUGACGCUGGAGCUGCUGGAUGUCAAUGACAACGUUCCGCAGUUCCCCCAGUCAUUUUACACCAUACGCAUGAUGGAGAACAACGCACCCGGAGCCCUGAUCAGUUCACUCACUGCGUUUGACCCUGACCUCCAUGAAAACCAGUAUCUGGUUUAUUUCAUCAUAGAGAAGGAGAUCGCCAACACCUCCAUGUCCAUGCUGUUCUCCAUCAAUCCAGAGAACGGGAACCUUUACGCACUGAAAACCUUUGACUACGAGAUAGAGAAGGACUUUCUGUUCCACAUCGAGGCCAGAGACUCUGGUUCUCCUCCUCUCAGCAGCAACGUGACCGUCCACAUCAUCAUUGUGGACCAGAACGACAACGCUCCAGUCAUUGUGUCUCCGUGGCGCGCGCACGGCUCAGUGGUGGAGGAAAAGAUCCCCAGAUCCACGGAUAAAGGCUCUCUGGUUGCCAAGGUGAUCGCCUUGGACACGGACUCGGUGCACAACUCUCGCAUCACCUACCAGUUCCUGCAGGUGCCUGACGCCACCUUGUUCAGCCUGGACCAGUACAACGGAGAGAUCCGGACCAUGAGGAUGUUCAGCUACAGGGAUCAGCGCCACCACAGACUGGUGGUUGUUGCCAAGGACAACGGGGAGCCUGCUCUCUCCGCUACAGUCACCAUCAAGCUGUCCACCGUGGAGACCGCCGUCAAGGCCUACUCUGACAUGACAGAGGUGCCUCUGGAGUACGACAUCUUCUCAGACCUCAACCUGUACUUGGUGAUCGGUCUGGGCUCCGUGUCCUUCCUGCUGCUCAUCACCAUCCUGGUCACCAUCGUGCUGAAGUGUCAGAAACCCAAAGCCAGCAAAGCGGCUCCUCCCUGCAGGAACAGCGUGGCCAGUGAGAGGAACUCCACCAUCGCUGACUCCACGCUGGUCUCCAACGAUGCCUACUGGUACAGUCUGUUCCUGGCAGAGACCAGGAAGGGGAAGCUGGUGGUCAGACAGCCUGUGCCAAAGGGCUCCAGGUACAUCGUGUCCAGUAUCCCCAGAGGUACCGGACUGACGGAUACUAGUGACUCAGCAGCUUCUACCCUGCAGGUAGUAUUAACAGCAUUCUAAACUUCCAGCAAACAUUCAUGCAUUUGCAAUGGAAAACAUGUGCAGCGUUGGAAUGCCGUUUACAAUAAACAAUCCUGAAAUAUGUUUCUUGCAUCAUAAUUUAAAAACUUGAAAUAUUCAUAUUGACUUAACGGGUGCAUAUUUUCACAAUGCAAUUCUUCGGAAUCAGACAUCAUAAUACUCUAAACUGUUCUUAGAACUGUUUAAAAUUCAGUGAACACCACUUAAACUAAGUAUGUACUUUAUUACCAAUCAAUGUCAAACAAACAUUUCUUGUUUUAAAGUGCUCAACUUACUGAAACAUAUAAUUUAUAAAUGUUUGUUCAGCAACAGCUACAUAUUAAUCAGUGUGUUCCGAUUAGUAGUUUUUGUCAGUGUCAUUAUGAUCUCACUGUUAAAUAUCAUUUGUCUAUUAUGGUGAGUAUACUGAAAAAUGAAGAAGAUUGUGGAUUACUGUUUAAACCCUGUGUGGUACAUGCUACAACGAUAAACUCAACUCAAGCUCUUAUCGUCAUGCUCAAAUAUUCAUUCUUGUGUUUGCAAUAAUCUGACCAUUGAAUAUUUUUUUUUUCUCCCCACUCUAAAGUACCCUAAAUGAGGAAAGUCCGCUCUGCAGUUGGAGGUAUGCAGCAGUUUCACUCCCCCCAGGCGUCCACCACCAGCAGUAGCAGUUCCACGUAACUCCAUACACCCCCCCCCCCCCCCCCCCAGCUGCAAACAAGACUGACGUUGACAGGAGAGCUCCACAGAGGAAAGGCGAACCCCCUGCUGAUGACCCCCCAUGUCUACCUUGUCCAGCGUGGCCCCUGUUCAUAACAAUGUGUGGUUUCCAUGCUCUAACACUGAAAUACCUAGUGACUAAAGAUGGACCCCUGCCCCUCUAUAAGCACAGAAAAUGCCAAUCAACAAUGCCUGUAUGUCCAUUUAGUAUGCACGAUAUGAUUGCAUGGCUUCGUCUACGCUCCUUCACAAAAUGUACAAAAGGAAAAAAAAGGAGAACAUUUGAAUCACAGUGGAAGAAGCUGCAAAAAGGACCAAUAAAUGGACGCAGGAAUGUGGAAAUGCCUUCAAGAGACUGUAAUUGGACUCUGUUUAAAAACGACAACCACACCUGUUGAAGAUUACAUUUUUACCCUCUGUGCUUUUAUUAUUUUAUGUACAAAGUAGCAAACAUGUGGAACAGCACAACUAACUACUGUCAGAAAAGCAACAAAGUGUGUGAUUUCAAAGUGUGCAGUGAAUGGGAGUCAGUAUUUUAUAGAUGUGGUAGCUUUUAGUACUCGUUUGCAUUGUGUGCUUAUGUGUGGCCCUGGCUUUAAAAUAUGAGUAACAUGAACAGUGCUAAUGCUAAUGCAUUUACGUAACUGAGCUAAGAUGAAGCCUUCAGCCAUCAUGUACCUGCCUUUCAGUUGUCUUUGCAUGGAAUAACCAGUGCUUGGAUAGCUUUAUAUUAUGAAGCAAUCCACUUUAUAUCCUUCUAGCCUCAUCUUAUGGUACAGUACGAGGUACAACAAUAUACUGGACGUUCACGUGAGGUCAGAAACGUUCACCUCGUGUGUGUGUAGGUGAGCAGCGGUGUGCCAUACUUACUCAUUCACAAAGUUUACUUACAGUACUUAUUUACUUAUUUUAGUUCGCUUGAAUGUUGAGGAAUAUGUGUGUGGAGAAUUGAACUGAACAAAGUGAGUAGAUUCAUUAUUGGCACCUUUUUCAAUUACUGUACAUACACCACAAACAUCACCAUCAAGUACUUUAACUUUUAUUUUAUUUCCAAAUCCAAACAAUGUCGGCUGAGAUUGAUGGAGCUGAAAAGUAAGUGUUUAUAUCAAAAUGACAUGUACAUGUGUCUCACUAACCAUAUGUUUAUAUGCAACACCUACAGUAAAUGCAUACAGGUUUGACUGACACAUCAGUAUGAACUAUGUCUGGUUCCAUAUGUAUAUGCCUUUCUGUUUCAGUCCCAAUGCGGAACUUUGUAUUAUGAACACAACCUGUGGGAUUCUGUGCCAUUGCAUUCAUUGGUGAACGGUGAAAUUACGGACCGUCAUGUAGUCAAACUAUUAAGCACAGGUCUCUUUGCAUUACUGGUAAAGGUUGUUUAAGCCAUUACAGGCAAGCAUAUACAGCAAGUGCUUUUGUACAGUGAUACAUUUAUGGUGCAAUAUGUUGUUAUGUGUACUGUGAGCUGCUGAUCUGUGUGAUCUAUUAAAUGCAAAAAACAAA
Molecule: RNA transcript, 5936 nt
Organism: Betta splendens (Siamese fighting fish)
Lineage: Eukaryota; Metazoa; Chordata; Actinopteri; Anabantiformes; Osphronemidae
Gene name: protocadherin alpha-C2-like
Exons: 2
Source: RefSeq, a predicted model, not a curated record